GGAGUAUGGACCGUGUCUCAGUUCCAUUGUGGGGGACACUCCUCUCAGAGCCCCUACCCGUCGUCGGCACGGCGGGCCGCUGCCCCGCCGUCUACCUGAUGGGACGCGAGCCAAUCCGUGACCGGUAUCACUACCUUUCAUCAUCGCACCAUGCGACGCAAUGAUAUAUGGGGUAUUAGGAGACGUUUCCAUCUGUUAUCCCCCUGUCACGGGCAUGUCGCUCACGCGUUACGCACCCUUCCGCCGGUCGCCGCCAGUGUAUUGCUACACCGCGCUGCCCCUCGACUUGCAUGUGUUAAGCCUGCCGCUAGCGUUCAUC
RNAcentral lists this ribosomal RNA (319 nucleotides) under uncultured Bacteroidales bacterium. Its description in RNAcentral is "partial 16S ribosomal RNA". Lineage: Bacteria; Pseudomonadati; Bacteroidota; Bacteroidia; Bacteroidales. The record is from RNAcentral.